This 291-nucleotide ribosomal RNA is filed under the name uncultured bacterium. RNAcentral's name for it is "partial 16S ribosomal RNA". It matches the Rfam family "Bacterial small subunit ribosomal RNA", at positions 773 to 1060 of the family's 1533-position model. The record is from RNAcentral.
GUGGAUUAGAUACCCUGGUAGUCCACGCCCUAAACGAUGUCAACUAGGUGUUGGGAGGGUUAAACCUCUUAGUGCCGUAGCUAACGCGUGAAGUUGACCGCCUGGGGAGUACGGCCGCAAGGCUAAAACUCAAAGGAAUUGACGGGGACCCGCACAAGCGGUGGAUGAUGUGGAUUAAUUCGAUGCAACGCGAAAAACCUUACCUACCCUUGACAUGUCAGGAAUCCCGAAGAGAUUUGGGAGUGCCCGAAAGGGAGCCUGAACACAGGUGCUGCACGGCUGUCGUCAACU